UCUUUGCAGUUUAGUUACAGAUUGCUGAGCUGAAAUCAUUUUGGGCCAAUGGUGCACUAGAACUGAAGCUUCUCUACUACACGCUGAGCAGUUUGCAGAAUGGUUGGAGCUGCUCAUGGGACGGCUGGCAGAGCAGAGCGGCUGAUAGAGUGGAGCCGUUUGUGGGAUGGCUGGUGGACUGGAGUGGAGCAGAGCCCCGUGGAGAGGAGCAGGGGGUGUUCCAAAGGCUGAAGAGACGCUUGAAUGGAUCCUCACAGCUGCUCCCGCCCAGUGAGAGAGGAAAUCCAUGGGAGAAGGGAAGACAAUGUCUCACUCUCAGACCAAGCCUUUGAAGCUCCACCCUGGUGAAAGACCCUUGACUGCUCAUCACCCGUAGCAUGAAGACAAGAUGAGAGGCCUCUAGCGGGUACAAGAGUGACUCGGAGAUUCCUGGGUUCCACGGCUCCUGCUUUCCCUGCUCCCUUCAGGAGCCAUCUGCACGUGUUUGCGAAGGGUGCAGCUCACCCAUUGUCCCAGAUGUUUGCACCUCAAUAGGGUCAUUCCGUCCUAAGCACUGUCUCCUUGUCGCUGUCUGGUGCAUGGUGCUACAGGGCUUGUCAGCACUGGGGGCUCCACCUACUUACAGGCUCUCCUGACACAGCAGAUUUUCAUAGCACAACUCCACAAAAAGAACCACAGUCCAUCACGUGUCCUGCCAUAGCCCCAAACCAUACAGAUGCGGUGGGAAAACGGCAGCAGGAAGAGAAAUAGAUCCACGCAGGACCUGCCCCUGAGUAACUGACUUCAGUGCUGGGCGAUGGAGGAAAUGACCGGAACUGAUUGAAACACAAACACACACCCAGCGCCAGAAUGGUACAAUAUCACCGCCCAGCAGUGCAGACAAACCACUGAGGCCGAACAGGCAGUGUCACUGACUGACCUGGCUUCUUGCUUCUCCUCUCACUGUAUUUCUGCUUCUCCCCCGACACCAGAGGGGCAUGAGACACAGGAUGCUGGGGAGUCAAUGUGGCCAAGCAGAAAGCAGGUUGAGCCUGCACUGGGAAGUUACCUUGUCUAGCAGGAGAUAGGAAGCUAGGGCACUGGAGCAGGGGGAAGGGGAAAGGAAUGGACAUUACUCAGCGGAUCCUAAGCCCAUUGAAACUCUGGAGGGUGCACAGCUAGGGCGUGUUACUAGAAGUCAUUCUGAGCAAUGGGAGAAGUUAAAUAUAAGGCAAAGGGGGUGUGUGUAGAACAGUUUGUCCUCAGGGGCCUGGGAGGGGAAGGACAUCUGCUAAUUUCUUUCUUUUCAUUUGCUUUACUUCUUCUCCCUUAUCCUAAAGAUACUCAGCAUGGCAGUGGUGACACUUCUCCCCUGAAGGAAUGGCUCUGAGUCACUUUCCUUUGCUUCUUCCCACCUUUACCAGGGCAGCUAGCAGGGAGAGGAUCCUGACCAAUGGCUAUUUUCAUUCUUUUCUUUCUUAGUGUUUAGCCCUGGAAUCGGCCUUGCUUAGGGUGACCAUACGUCCCAUUUUGACUGGAACAGUCCCUUUUUUAGGCCCUUCCUCACUUUUUUGGCAAAAAUAUACCCAAAUGCGUGAAGCGGGGGCGAGCUGCAACGCCAGCCCAGCGCUGGAGGGAGAGCUCAGGAGAGUGGCUCGGGCCGGCCCCACACGCGAGUGGGCUGCAGGAGAGCACAGGCUGCCCCUGCACACCGGGAGGUAGGGGGACCUCAGGCUGGCCCCAUGUAGGUGGGAGGCAGGGAGGGCUGGGGCUGGCCCUGCAUGC
Molecule: long non-coding RNA, 1764 nt
Organism: Chelonia mydas (Green sea turtle)
Lineage: Eukaryota; Metazoa; Chordata; Testudines; Cheloniidae
Exons: 5
Source: RefSeq, a predicted model, not a curated record